Molecule: ribosomal RNA, 475 nt
Filed under: Oceanospirillaceae bacterium M12-C25
Lineage: Bacteria; Pseudomonadati; Pseudomonadota; Gammaproteobacteria; Oceanospirillales; Oceanospirillaceae
Description: bacterial SSU rRNA
Rfam family: Bacterial small subunit ribosomal RNA
Source: RNAcentral
UAGAGUUUGAUCAUGGCUCAGAUUGAACGCUGGCGGCAGGCCUAACACAUGCAAGUCGAGCGGCAGCACGAGAAAGCUUGCUUUCUUGGUGGCGAGCGGCGGACGGGUGAGUAAUACAUGGGAAUCUGCCCGAUAGUGGGGGACAACGUUUCGAAAGGAACGCUAAUACCGCAUACGUCCUACGGGAGAAAGCAGGCUUAGGCUUGCGCUAUCGGAUGAGCCCAUGUCGGAUUAGCUUGUUGGUGAGGUAAUGGCUCACCAAGGCGACGAUCCGUAACUGGUCUGAGAGGAUGAUCAGUCACACCGGAACUGAGACACGGUCCGGACUCCUACGGGAGGCAGCAGUGGGGAAUAUUGGACAAUGGGGGCAACCCUGAUCCAGCCAUGCCGCGUGUGUGAAGAAGGCCUUCGGGUUGUAAAGCACUUUCAGCGAGGAGGAAAGCAGUAAGGUUAAUACCCUUAUUGUGUGACGUAC